GACGAACGCUGGCGGCGUGCUUAACACAUGCAAGUCGAACGGAAAGGCCCUGCUUUUGUGGGGUGCUCGAGUGGCGAACGGGUGAGUAACACGUGAGUAACCUGCCCUUGACUUUGGGAUAACUUCAGGAAACUGGGGCUAAUACCGGAUAGGAGCUCCUGCUGCAUGGUGGGGGUUGGAAAUUUUCGGCGGUUGGGGAUGGACUCGCGGCUUAUCAGCUUGUUGGUGGGGUAGUGGCUUACCAAGGCUUUGACGGGUAGCCGGCCUGAGAGGGUGACCGGCCACAUUGGGACUGAGAUACGGCCCAGACUCCUACGGGAGGCAGCAGUGGGGAAUAUUGCACAAUGGGCGGAAGCCUGAUGAAGCAACGCCGCGUGCGGGAUGACGGCCUUCGGGUUGUAAACCGCUUUCGCCUGUGACGAAGCGUGAGUGACGGUAAUGGGUAAAGAAGCACCGGCUAACUACGUG
Molecule: ribosomal RNA, 468 nt
Filed under: uncultured bacterium
Lineage: Bacteria
Description: partial 16S ribosomal RNA
Rfam family: Bacterial small subunit ribosomal RNA
Source: RNAcentral